Molecule: long non-coding RNA, 524 nt
Filed under: Bos taurus (domestic cattle)
Lineage: Eukaryota; Metazoa; Chordata; Mammalia; Artiodactyla; Bovidae
Description: long non-coding RNA NONBTAT005973
Source: RNAcentral
AAGCGUGGUUAUUACUGUGCAGAAGUUUAAUCAGUUUACAAAAAUGCGUUGAACACUGGGGGCUUUGGAUAAAAAAGUCAUAUGUGCGUAUUAGUCAUCCAUUCCAUUGUCAUCACUGUUUCGGUCUACCAUAGAGAUGUUUUAUUAGUUCGUUCAAAUUCCCAUGACUCCAGUUUCACAUGAGGUCGUAGACUCCUCAAUUGAAAAGCUUUUUAGUAGCUUUGGUAGGUCUGAAAUUUCAGAAUAUUGAGCAAGGCCUGAGCUAGAACAUGAUCUAAUAAGAUUGGACUGUCAAAACAAGAAGCACUAGUCUGUGAUUACAAGAUUUUUACGAAGAAAAUGUUAAAACUCUGCUGUGAGAACCUCAGAAAGAUAAUAAAACAGGUUGGAAGCCAGUUUCUUUUUCAUGUCUAUUCUGAUAGGUGGGACAUCCGCCUAUUCAAGCAGCAAAACUGCAGUGGAAUGAAGUGUGAGUCCACAGAAACAAUAGAUAGUAUCUUUCUAUUGGGAAACUCUAAUUGCUU